This 482-nucleotide ribosomal RNA is filed under the name uncultured bacterium. RNAcentral describes it as "partial 16S ribosomal RNA". It matches the Rfam family "Bacterial small subunit ribosomal RNA", at positions 30 to 507 of the family's 1533-position model. The record is from RNAcentral.
AUUGAACGCUGGCGGCAUGCCUUACACAUGCAAGUCGAACGGUAACAGGUCUUCGGAUGCUGACGAGUGGCGAACGGGUGAGUAAUACAUCGGAACGUGCCCGAUCGUGGGGGAUAACGGAGCGAAAGCUAUGCUAAUACCGCAUACGAUCUACGGAUGAAAGCAGGGGACCGCAAGGCCUUGCGCGGACGGAGCGGCCGAUGGCAGAUUAGGUAGUUGGUGGGAUAAAAGCUUACCAAGCCGACGAUCUGUAGCUGGUCUGAGAGGACGACCAGCCACACUGGGACUGAGACACGGCACAGACUCCUACGGGAGGCAGCAGUGGGGAAUUUUGGACAAUGGGCGAAAGCCUGAUCCAGCCAUGCCGCGUGCAGGAUGAAGGCCUUCGGGUUGUAAACUGCUUUUGUACGGAACGAAAAGACUCUUUCUAAUAAAGAGGGUCCAUGACGGUACCGUAAGAAUAAGCACCGGCUAACUACGUG